This 498-nucleotide ribosomal RNA is filed under the name uncultured bacterium. RNAcentral describes it as "partial 16S ribosomal RNA". It matches the Rfam family "Bacterial small subunit ribosomal RNA", at positions 28 to 507 of the family's 1533-position model. The record is from RNAcentral.
GACGAACGCUGGCGGCGUGCCUAAUACAUGCAAGUCGAACGAGAGCGCCCGGUGCUUGCACUGGUCAAUCUAGUGGCGAACGGGUGAGUAACACGUGGGUAACCUGCCCAUCAGAGGGGGAUAACAUCCGGAAACGGAUGCUAAAACCGCAUAGGUCUUCGAGCCGCAUGGCUUGAAGAGGAAAAGAGGCGCAAGCUUCUGCUGAUGGAUGGACCCGCGGUGCAUUAGCUAGUUGGUGAGGUAACGGCUCACCAAGGCCGUGAUGCAUAGCCGACCUGAGAGGGUGAUCGGCCACAUUGGGACUGAGACACGGCCCAAACGCCUACGGGAGGCAGCAGUAGGGAAUCUUCCGCAAUGGACGCAAGUCUGACGGAGCAACGCCGCGUGAGUGAAGAAGGUGUUCGGAUCGUAAAACUCUGUUGUUAGAGAAGAACAAGUGCUAGAGUAACUGUUAGCGCCUUGACGGUAUCUAACCAGAAAGCCACGGCUAACUACGUG